UCUUCCCUCUGGCGGCGUGCUUAACACAUGCAAGUCGAACGGGAAACCUUUUAUUGAAGCUUCGGCAGAUUUAGCUGGUUUCUAGUGGCGGACGGGUGAGUAACGCGUGGGUAACCUGCCUUAUACAGGGGGAUAACAACCAGAAAUGGUUGCUAAUACCGCAUAAGCGCACAGGACCGCAUGGUCCGGUGUGAAAAACUCCGGUGGUAUAAGAUGGACCCGCGUUGGAUUAGCUAGUUGGCAGGGUAACGGCCUACCAAGGCGACGAUCCAUAGCCGGCCUGAGAGGAUGAACGGCCACAUUGGGACUGAGACACGGCCCAGACUCCUACGGGAGGCAGCAGUGGGGAAUAUUGCACAAUGGGGGAAACCCUGAUGCAGCGACGCCGCGUGAAGGAAGAAGUAUCUCGGUAUGUAAACUUCUAUCAGCAGGGAAGAUAGUGACGGUACCUGACGAAGAAGCCCCGGCUAACUACGUG
Molecule: ribosomal RNA, 478 nt
Filed under: uncultured bacterium
Lineage: Bacteria
Description: partial 16S ribosomal RNA
Rfam family: Bacterial small subunit ribosomal RNA
Source: RNAcentral